AAAAAGACAAACUCUAGGUUUCCGUAUCCAACGUUUGACUAUCCGUCUUAUAUGAAAUUUUUUAUAAUUAGUAUUUUUAUUGUUGUUAGAUGAUAAACCAUGAUUAAUACUUUAUGCGUGACUUGUCUUUUUAAUUUUUUCAAAUAAGACGGACGGUCAAACGUUGGACACGGAAAGCCA
RNAcentral lists this microRNA precursor (180 nucleotides) under Oryza barthii. Its description in RNAcentral is "MIR812 microRNA precursor family". It matches the Rfam family "MIR812 microRNA precursor family". The record is from Rfam by way of RNAcentral. Lineage: Eukaryota; Viridiplantae; Streptophyta; Magnoliopsida; Poales; Poaceae.